UAAAUAUUUUCUCCUACACUGAGUUUCUUAGGCAGCUAGAAGAGGCAGAGUUGGAGCAGGGCUCUGGUACCUGGGGGAGGGGUGGUCCCAGAGAUGUGUCCAGGACCCCAAGAGGCUGCUCCCUGGGGCAGCAGGGCCCUCGGGGGACUUUGUACCCAGGCAGAGCUCAGACUGAGGCCUUGGGGACCACUGAGUUCCCAUGCCCCUCUCCCUCGCCCAGCCCUGCAGCCCUGUGUACUGGGCAGAGCUGAGCCCAGGCAGGGGUUCAGCAAAAGGGAGACAGGCAGGAAGAGACGGAUCUAAGGGGUCUAAGUAACAUGGUUUAUGCCAUCAGAGGUUAGUGUGUUAAAAACCCACUGGUGGGGGCCGGGGAUUUACCUCAGUGGUUUCACCACCUGCUGCGCAAGCACAAGGACCCGAGUUUGAUCCCCGGUACCAAAAGAAAACAAAAGCAAAACCAAAAAAACCCCACUGGUACUGGCCAUCUUUGUGUGACUCCCAGAGAGCCAAAAGAAGGGAAAAUGAAACUAAGAAAACGCUGCCAAGCCAGUAGAUUGUAUGGAUGGGAGGAAUAAACUCAAGGGAGGAUGGGCUGUUCGCAGGAGCAUAAAGUCAGAUGUCAGGAAUGAUUACAGACACCUUCAUCAUGGGGCAAGUGAGAAUUCAAGAGGAAAAGCAACAAAAUGUACAAAGAGGAUGAUAGUGCACAUGGCUAGAACUUCCUAUCCAUCAGGAAGGUGCAAUAACCCGAACAUCUACACAACAUUUGUCAGGGCAGCUUUGACAUCUGCAGUGGUGGUGAGUGGCUGGAAACCCUCGUCUCAGGGAUUUUAGUCAGCCAUGGAGAUGAGUGGACGGCAGGCGCGUCUCUCCCGGGGCUGUGGAGCUGAGUACGCUGUUGAGCAACCACAGCAGGUGCAGAAUGCUAUGCACAGGGUCCCGCAGGCGGAUUUAAUAUCUAAAGCCAGUACUGCGUAACUUUCAUGGUCACAUAAAUAUGCAGUGAAGGUACAGAGCGUGCUCGGGAAUGGUGAACAGCAGAGCUGCGUUGGGGCUCCUCUGCAGAGGGAGGUCGGGUGGAAGAGCGGAAGUGUGUUCAUUCCAUCCCGGACAGCAGUCAGCACAGACACAGGAGCUUGAAGCAGCACCACCUUGCCUCUGUUUCCUGUAGUCGGAAGUCCGCAUGAGGGUUAGCAAGAUCCUCUGGCAAAACAAGGUGCUGGCCGGGCUGUGGGCACACGUAGGGCCCCAGGUCCUCCUGCAAGGUCACUCCAGUUGUUGGAAGAAUCCAAUUCCUUCAGCUGGAGGAUUCUUCUUUUUUUGUUUUUUUGAUGGCCAUUGGCUGGGUCUUUCUCAUCUCCUCGAGGCUGAUCUCACGUCCUGGCUCUGCAGCCGUCUCCAUAAAUGUUACCUUUUUACCAUUAAUAAUUUAAUUUAAAAAUUUUUUUUUUUUUGGAACCGAGGAUGGAACUUGGGACCUUGUGCUUGCGAGGCAGGCACCAGAACCACUGAGCUAAAUCCCCGGCCCGAUGUUACCUUUUUAAUCAGGGUACCAAGAGUGCAUUGGCUGUGGCUUUGAACCCCUCUGACUUUCAACUCUGGAAACUCUUUUUAAAAUCACCUGAUUAAGUCAGGCCCACCCACCUCAAGGGGAGGGGAUCACAGGAUCUGCACCCCAAGGGUCAGGAGUCGCCAGUGCUGUCUUAGAACCCACAGGAAGGAUGCACAGUGGGUACCAAUUGUGCUGCAGACUGUACUGAAAAUAUCUACAGCCAACAUGGCUUCAUGUUAAGGUCUCUGGAAAGUAGCUGGUGGAUACCAGGGGUUUGAUUUUCUUAUUCUUUUCUCCUACAUUAUUGAAAAUAUUUCACACAUACAAAAUUAAUGAACUAAAACACCAAAAUGCACCCUCUAUUAAAGGAGUAAAGAAAUUAUAAAUUAUUUAGAAAUAAAUAAUAAUGAAUAUUAAAACCUGAAUAAUAUAGACAUUACACAAUUAGAGAAAAAUUUACAGCCUACAUUAGAUAUACUACAAACAAGAGAAACUGAAAAUCAGUGAAAUAAUUUUACAACUAAAAACAGUGGAAAAGAAACAACAAAUUAAAUCUGAAGAAAGGGAGGCAUUAGUGAAGAUAAAACUAGAAAGUAAUGGUCAAAAUAAAAUAUUGGAUGAAUGAGCACAACUUUCCCCUUGAACAGGCGUGGCUUAGUUACUUUUCUCAUUGCUGAGACAAAAUACCCGAUGCCCACAAGUUAAGGGAGGACAGGUUCAUUUAGCUCACAGUGUGUGGAGGUUUCCGUCCAUAGUCGGUUGGCUCCAAGGCAGGGGGCCUGGCAGAGGAGGAGCAGCUCAGAGAAGCAAGGGCCCUCAGCAGCUGCUUUCUGCCACCUUUAUAGUCUUUCUUGGGUACUGGGAUCAGGGCAGGUGCACAACCAAUCAGGACUGAUUUAGUAAUCACACACCCUUAAUCCUAGCAUUGCACCAUGAAUCAGUCACACACCUUAGAUCCAGCCACCUCUGAAAAAGCUCCAUCUCUGACCACUUGAGGCUUGUGGGGACAGCUAGACACAGCCAUAACAAGGCUGGUAAAUAGAUAAAAAGUUGGCAAGCCUGAUCGAGAACAAAAGUGGAAACUUAGAAGACAAGGGAUGUAGUUCCAGGAACAGAGAAUAUUUUAAAACUAUAAAAGAAUGAUAUUGUGUGGCAAUAUUAUUCAAACAUCUAUGUGAAAUGGGUGCUUUCUAGAGAAAUAUUAGAGUUGCCUCUAAAAAAGAUACCAGGCCCCGAUGGUUUUAUGGGAGGAUUCCCUAAGCCUCAAAGGCACAGAUAAUUCCCAUGUGAAGGGAAUCAUGUUCCCAGCAUGCUCUAUGAGUGGUGUAUGCUGAUAUUAAAACAACGCAAGGAUAGGAUAAGCAAGGAAAAUGGUAAUUUCACUCUGUAAUUCAAUACAUUAGGAAAUAGAUUUAUGAAUUUAAUAUAUGACAUAAUGUUUAAUAUUUAACUCAUGUUUAUGCAUAAACGUAAGAGCAAGAAUCAAGCUAUGACAAAGCCGGGGAACUACAGUCACCAUCUCACAUCAGGAGCUGGGAUCACAGAGACCUGCAGAGCUGCCUGCGGGGAGGAGGGCAGCCACAGGUGUCACACAGAGAGGCCCCUGGAGCCCCUGCAGCUUGACUCUGCCCACGAGCCAACAGGGAGAUGCUUCUUCUUAUCACCCUCAUUGCUCUGACUGUGGCUGGAGUCCCAGCCCCACCUCUGCCCUCUCACCUCUCUGGGAGCAGGCGAGAGAUCAUCUGCCCAAGAGAGGACGCCUUUCCAGGGAGGAGCGCACCGAGGGGGCCCUGCCAGCCCCUGGGGUCCUCACCUUGCCUUCUUCAAGCAGGGACAGGACGGCCUUGAAGGAGGGAGCUGCAGGGUGCCCAUCCCUUCAGGAUGCCAGCCAUCAUGAGGAGGGCCCACCUCAGUUUGCCUCUGCCAAGACCCUGCCUGUUAAUCGCAUCGCUUCCGGUGGUCCUGAGGCCUAGGAAUUCAACCUGUGAGUUUGGAGGGAUGGAACUCAACCCGUGGUGGUCACCUGACGUAGCCAUCACCCAGAACUCAUCCUUUGUCCUCUCCGAUUUCCCCAGCAGGGCAGUGGUUGGGGGCGGCUUGGCGGGCGGUGCUGGGUGCCAGGGAGCAGGGCGCUGUCCCCGGAGGGUGUGAUGAGCAGAGGUUCAGUUUCCACUGUGUGGCUGUGGGUGGAGGCCUCGGCCCUCCCGGACCCCCACAGCAUGCCGGAGUGUCCCCCCACUCGGUGACUGGUCCUCUGCUGGGGACCGGGAGAGCCAGCGUGCCUUUUCUGACCGGCCUUGGGCGUCACGGGUGUCCCUUCCAGCCUGUGCUCUUGAUCACAGAGGCUGCUCCCGCUGGAGCUGGGAGGAGGUUCCGAAGGUGAGUCCCGGGAGGGAGGGCUUCGUUCCUGACCCGGCUGGCUGACCAGACUUCUGCUUUCCAGCCAGUGGGACGUGGAGGGAGGAGUGAGGCCCCUUCCUGCUAACUGGGGACGUGGGAGUUGCAGUCGCCUCUUUUCAAAUCACCCUCGCUGAAAGUCAGUGGCACAGCCACACAGGGCUGGAGGAAGGGCGGGAGACCGCUGUCACCUUCAGGGCCCGGCCCAGCUCAGCUGGGACCCAGGAGCCUCUCAGCGUGGGCCAGCUGCUGGCCCUUCCCCCAGCUGGCUGUGGCUUCAGAAGCAGCCCUACAAGGGGCAGAGGAGGGUACCAUGUGUGCUCCCCGUGGAUUCUGAGAGCUCACACAGAGCUGUCCCCAGAGCUGUGGGUGUCACUGGAGGCAGAAGCAGAGGUCAGCGGGAAGCACCUGGCAAGUCUGACACAAUCUCGCCACUGUCCAACCUGAAUCCCGGGCAGGAGCUCCACCAUGUGCCGGGGGGCGGGGAACUCCCACACCCUGUCUUGCAGGCUUCUGGUGACGGCCGGUGACGUGAUUGCUUUCCAGGAAAACCCUGGGUUUGGGUCCUGUUAUCCAGGGGCCUCCACUGGGAAACUGAGGCUGCCCUGUGGGUCCCAGUCCAGGGGCUUGAGAUGGUGCCCACUGAGCUCUGCCUUUUCCUGGGCCCAUGGCUGCAGCUGGAAUGGGGCCCCUUCCUGACCAGGGCCACCACUUCCCUCUCUGCUGGGCUCUCUCCAAGGCACUGGGGCCUUUGCACGGCCCAGGAUCUUCCACAGCCUAUGGACCCCUACUAGGAUCAUAUUUUUAUGUAUAUAUGUAUGUAUGCACACAUGCAUAUAUGUAUGCAUUCAUGUACUCCUGAAUGCAUGCACAUGCGUACACAUACAAUGGUACCACAAACACUUUUGUUUAUAAACAGUUUGGUCUGAAAACAGAAGUCUUUGGCAAAAUUUUGAUUUUUUUGCAAACUCUGCAUUGGGUGACAAACAUGAUCAAGGCCAUCUUUCCCACACAAACACAAACGUGGCCAUCUGUCCCCAAACUGUAGAACAAAUUAUGAACCGAGGCACCACUGUACAUGUAUAUCCGCGUGUAUGAAUUCUGUGGUGCUGGGGAUCGAACCUGGGGCCUCACAAAUGCUAGAAAAGUGCUCUGCUGCCGAGCUUCAUCCCUAGCCCAGGAUAAUAUUUUUAAAUGCAUAAAAAAUCCCCACAAAGGAUUAUAAAGAAAAUCAAUUGAAAUAUAGCAAUCAAAAUAUUAAAAAUA
Molecule: non-coding RNA, 5215 nt
Organism: Heterocephalus glaber (naked mole-rat)
Lineage: Eukaryota; Metazoa; Chordata; Mammalia; Rodentia; Bathyergidae
Source: RefSeq, a predicted model, not a curated record